AUGAACACAUGAAGAUGAUGAACACAUGAAGAUGCUGAACACAUGAACACAUGAAGAUGAUGAACACAUGAAGAUGCUGAACACAUGAAGGUGAAGAACACAUGAACACAUGAAGCUGAUGAACACAUGAACACAGGAAGCUGCUGAACACAUGAACACAGGAAGCUGAUGAACACAUGAACACAGGAAGCUGCUGAACACAUGAAGAUGCUGAACACAUGAACACAUGAAGCUGCUGAACACAUGAACACAUGAAGAUGAUGAACACCUGAAGGUGCUGAGGCAGUGCGGAGCUGCACUGACAGCUGACACCAACACCAAUAUGUACGCUGAGAUUUCGCAGAACCUGAACUAUGCAGGU
Clupea harengus (Atlantic herring) is the source of this 361-nucleotide long non-coding RNA. The record is from Ensembl. NCBI's taxonomy places the organism in Eukaryota, Metazoa, Chordata, Actinopteri, Clupeiformes, Clupeidae.